UGGAUCCAGACUUUGAUCAUGGCUCAGGAUGAACGCUGGCGGCGUGCCUAAUACAUGCAAGUCGAACGAAACUUCUUUAUCACCGAGUGCUUGCACUCACCGAUAAAGAGUUGAGUGGCGAACGGGUGAGUAACACGUGGGCAACCUGCCCAAAAGAGGGGGAUAACACUUGGAAACAGGUGCUAAUACCGCAUAACCAUAGUUACCGCAUGGUAACUAUGUAAAAGGUGGCUAUGCUACCGCUUUUGGAUGGGCCCGCGGCGCAUUAGCUGGUUGGUGGGGUAAAGGCUUACCAAGGCAAUGAUGCGUAGCCGAACUGAGAGGUUGAUCGGCCACAUUGGGACUGAGACACGGCCCAAACUCCUACGGGAGGCAGCAGUAGGGAAUCUUCCACAAUGGGCGAAAGCCUGAUGGAGCAACGCCGCGUGGGUGAAGAAGGUCUUCGGAUCGUAAAACCCUGUUGUUAGAGAAGAAAGUGCGUGAGAGUAACUGUUCACGUUUCGACGGUAUCUAACCAGAAAGCCACGGCUAACUACGUGCCAGCAGCCGCGGUAAUACGUAGGUGGCAAGCGUUAUCCGGAUUUAUUGGGCGUAAAGGGAACGCAGGCGGUCUUUUAAGUCUGAUGUGAAAGCCUUCGGCUUAACCGGAGUAGUGCAUUGGAAACUGGGAGACUUGAGUGCAGAAGAGGAGAGUGGAACUCCAUGUGUAGCGGUGAAAUGCGUAGAUAUAUGGAAGAACACCAGUGGCGAAAGCGGCUCUCUGGUCUGUAACUGACGCUGAGGUUCGAAAGCGUGGGUAGCAAACAGGAUUAGAUACCCUGGUAGUCCACGCCGUAAACGAUGAAUGCUAAGUGUUGGAGGGUUUCCGCCCUUCAGUGCUGCAGCUAACGCAAUAAGCAUUCCGCCUGGGGAGUACGACCGCAAGGUUGCAACUCAAAUGAAUUGACGGA
This 950-nucleotide ribosomal RNA is filed under the name uncultured Bacillota bacterium. RNAcentral's name for it is "bacterial SSU rRNA". It matches the Rfam family "Bacterial small subunit ribosomal RNA", at positions 1 to 917 of the family's 1533-position model. Lineage: Bacteria; Bacillati; Bacillota. The record is from RNAcentral.